AAUAAUGCAUACGGUGGAUGCCUUGGUCGAAAGUACCGAUGAAGGACGUAUUAGGCUGCGAUAAGCUUCGGGGAGCUGCCAAAAAGCUUUGAUCCGAAGAUUUCCGAAUAUGAUAACUGGUCCCGAUUUAUCGGGACAUCCCAACAUGAAUUCAUAGUGUUGGGAAGGGUACAGCCCGAACUGAAACAUCUAAGUAAGGCUAGGAAAAGAAAACAAUAGUUUAUUCCCCAAGUAGCGGCGAGCGAAAAGGGAGGAGCCUAAACCCGCCUCUCAAGCGUAAGCGAGAGGGCGGGGGUUGUGGGGUUUACGAUAUAGCAUCAGUCGAAGAUAGUUAAAGUCGUUGGAAAGCGACACCAAAGAAGGUGAUAGUCCUGUAAACGAAAUUUGAGACUGGCUUAGUAAAUACCCGAGUAGCGCAGGACACGUGUAACCCUGUGUGAAUCCGGCGGGACCAUCCGCUAAGGCUAAAUAUACUUUCGGACCGAUAGUGAACUAGUACCGCGAGGGAAAGGUGAAAAGAAGAGCGAAACGCUCAGUGAAAUAGUACCUGAAACCGUAUGUUGACAAGCAGAGAAAGUGGAGGUUUACUUCUACAAUCUCGUGCCUAUUGAAGAAUGAACCGGUGAGUUACCGUAUCCUUUUUGCUUAAGCCAUUCUGUGGCGAAAGCGUAGUGAAAGCGAGGGUUAAUAGCCCGUUUACAGGAUGCGAUAGACCCGAAACCGAGUGAGCUAUCCAUGUCCAGGGUGAACCCCGACUAACGUCGUGGGGGAGGCCCGAACCCGUUGUUGUAUCAAUAACUUGGGAUGAGAUGUGGUUAGAGGUGAUAUGCCUAACGAACUCGGAGAUAGCUGGUUCUCCUCGAAAUAUAUCUAGGUAUAGCCUGAAAUUUACCUGCAGGGGUAGAGCACUGGAUGGAUUCUGGUCGAGCAAUCGAUCAGGUUCAACCAAACUCCGAAUACUGCAGCAGUUAUUUCAGAGUCAGUCCGAUCCGGCUAAGCGGAGCGGGCCUAAGGGAAACAUCCCAGAUCAAUAGCUAAGGUCCCUAAAUGCAAGUUAAGUGUGAAAGGUAGUCUUUGUCCUUAGACAGCCAGGAAGUUGGCUUAGAAGCAGCCAUCUUUUAAAGAUAGCGUAACAGCUCGCUGGUCUACUAUGGGUGAGGGCGCCGACAAUUAAUCGGGGCUAAACUUGCUACCGAAGCUUUGGAUUUACCCCGCCUUUGGGCGGGGCAAGUGGUAGAGGAGCGUUCUAUGUGAAGUGAAUGGUCGCCGUGAGGCGACCUGGAUUGCAUAGAAGUGAGAAUGCCGGUAUGAGUAGCGUAUUGACGUGAGAAACGUCAUCGCCGAAUGCCCAAGGUUUUCCACGCAAUGUUAAUCAACGUGGAGUUAGUCGGUCCUAAGGUCAGGCCUAAAAGGCGUAGCCGAUGGACAACAGGUUAAAAUUCCUGUAUUGAGUUGUAUCUGACAAAUUCUCGAUUAGUCGCAAGACGACAUCGGAACCGUUAAGGGGGGACAAAGUAGGAAAACUCUUGCCCGGCAUUGCCGGGUAGAAGCAAUGAGCUAGUUGAGGCAGGUAAAUCCGCUUCAACAACCCCACAUCAAUCUGUUUACAGGUUGGUGUGGGAUCCAAGAUGCAAGUUGCGAUCUCGAGAGAAGAACUUUUUCUGUUUUCAAGAAAAUCCUCGUAAAGGAGAUACGAUUUAACCGUACCGUAAACCGACACAGGUGGGCGAGUUGAGUAUACAAAGGCGAUCGGGAGAACUAUCCUUAAGGAACUCGGCAACGAAAGCUGGACGUAACCUUUGGGAGAUGUCCUGGGGUGUACCAUACGGUACGCCCUUACAACAAAAGACGCUAAGCGACUGUUUAACAAAAACACAGGUCCCUGCUAAAUCGAAAGAUGAUGUAUAGGGGCUGACACCUGCCCAGUGCCAGUAAUUUACUGUCUCAAGUGACCCAUGUACCAUUACGGUGCAUGGUGAGCCUGGGGCCUAAGAUCUGGUGAACGGCAGCAGUAACUAUAACUGUUCUAUGGUUUUGGGAAUUUCAAAGCCUUAGAUGGUGGUGUGUUUUUAGAAUUCGACUAUAUGCUGGAAACUCUGGUGUAUCUUGAGCUAGUUGACAUUUGGGUUUAUUUCGGAUAAUAAUGAAAUAAUGCCUAAAUUUCCAACUAAUAAAGCUACAAGUGCAGACAAUCAGCAGGAAAGACUUAGGAUCUCAAGUUGGAUAGUUGGUUUUGUGGAUGGAGAAGGAUGCUUUUCGGUUUCUAUUUUCAAGAAUAGGACAACAAGAAGCGGAUUUCAGGUAAUGCCUGAAUUUGUGGUUACACAAGGUCAAAAAAGUUUAGAUAGUUUGCAAAUUAUCAAAGACUUUUUUGAAUGUGGAGCAAUCUAUGUAAAUAGACGCUAUGAUAACCAUAAAGAGAAUAUCUACCGUUAUUGUGUUCGUUCGACAAAAGAUUUGAACGAAAAGAUUAUUCCUUUUUUCAAAGCAAACAAACUACUAACUUAUAAGAAAAAUGAUUUUGAAACUUUCUGUAAAGCAAUGGAGAUGAAAUUAUUAAAUCUUCACUUAACAGCAGACGGUUUACAAAGUUUUAGAGAUCUUAAGAAUCCUCAGAGACUAAUACGUCGAACUCCGCCAUUGGCGGGGAAGAUAGAGUCCGAACUGCAUAGCGAUAUGCAGAUGUGACGAUUAGAUUGUCACAGCAACAUAAUUGAGCGAAGUUCCUUGUCUGGUUGGUUUGCGGGUCACGCAAAACUUGCCAGAACUCCGAUUAAAAUCGGAGGCACUUAGGAACGGAAAGUUAAACAGAAAGUCGAAAAUUAAGUGUAAAAUCUGACUAAAUGCUGGAAUAACUCUGAAUCUGACAGUAGUCCAAUGGACUAAUAA
RNAcentral lists this ribosomal RNA (2889 nucleotides) under Candidatus Daviesbacteria bacterium RIFCSPHIGHO2_01_FULL_41_23. RNAcentral's name for it is "bacterial LSU rRNA". The stretch from base 1 to 2130 matches the Rfam family "Bacterial large subunit ribosomal RNA". Lineage: Bacteria; Candidatus Daviesiibacteriota. The record is from RNAcentral.